AAGUCGUAACAAGGUUUCCGUAGGUGAACCUGCGGAAGGAUCAUUUCCGAAAAAACAAAACAAACUAUACCAACCCACAGUGUGCUUAGUUUUGGGUCCCUUUUUUUUUUACUCUUUCAUGGUUUUAUACAAGGGGACGUGCGUGUGUGGCAACACAUGCGCUCUAUAACCUUGUAUAAUAUAUAUGCCGUGAGAGAGGCCUUGAUGAACUACCUCCAUGUUCUCUUAUUUUCCUAUGUGUACAUACAUGUGCAUAUACGAGAUAUGAGCGCAUCAGGUUGAUGUACCAUGAAGUGAUACUUUAAAACAGUAUACAUUAAAAAAAAUGAUACGACAACUUUUAACGGUGGAUCUCUUGGCUCGU
RNAcentral lists this unclassified non-coding RNA (364 nucleotides) under fungal sp. RNAcentral's name for it is "partial internal transcribed spacer region". The stretch from base 1 to 46 matches the Rfam family "Eukaryotic small subunit ribosomal RNA", at positions 1786 to 1831 of the family's 1831-position model. Lineage: Eukaryota; Fungi. The record is from RNAcentral.